This 1317-nucleotide long non-coding RNA is filed under the name Solanum tuberosum (potato). RNAcentral's name for it is "long non-coding RNA (STUB_LNC003079)". The record is from RNAcentral. Lineage: Eukaryota; Viridiplantae; Streptophyta; Magnoliopsida; Solanales; Solanaceae.
AGUAGUAGUAAUAGUAGUAGUAGUAUAUUGUUUAUAUUGAAUUAUAUAUGCACAUUGGGUUGCGGUUGUUUUUAUAUUUAAAAUUGACUUUGUGAUAUCCUAAGCGUUAAAGGUUAUUGUUAUUUGGUAUUUUAAUUUUUAAAUUUGUUAUAUGCUUGUUGGGUGGGUUUGACUCUGUUUAUGAGGUCGUAGUAUUUUCUAUUGAAAAUUCAUCUUCUCCGUAAUAUUUCACUAUGUAUUCUCAGUGAGUUAUAUUGUUAAUGUUUGGUCAUUGUAUUUACUUUAUUUUAUCUUUUUUCUUUUAUUUGAUUUUGUUUCUGUUAGUUUGUUUUUUAUUGGAUUUUGUAUUUUUUUUAAAAUGUUACAAGUUGAAAUUGGCCAAUGAGAAAAUCUCUCCGUCGAUUUUGGAGGCCUUCCCAUUCUAAAUGACGGAAAUUUAGUUUAAGUUUAUAUAUUUUGUAAGUUAAAAUUGGUCAAUGAGAAAAUCUCUCCGUCGAUUUUAGAGGCCUUCCCAAUUUAAAAGACGGAAUUUUAGUUUAAGCUUAUAUAUUUUAUUUGUUAAAAAUGGCCAAUGAGAAAAUCUCCUCCGUCCGGUUUUUGGAGGCCUCCACAUUGCAAAGACGGUAAAUUUAGUUAAGUUUCAUUAAUUGUUACAAGUUGAAAUUGGCCAAUGAGAAAAUCUCUCCGUCAGUUUUGGAGGCCUCCCCAUUUAAAAGACGGAAAUUUAGUUUAAGUUUAUAUAUGUUAUAUCUUAGAAUUGUCCGAUGAAGAAAUUACCGUCGAUUUCCAAGGCCUUCCAUGUUAAUAAGACGGAUUUUAUUUUUUAAGUUAUUGUUUAAUUCAUUUAUUUUUAUUCAUAUUUAUUUAUUACUAACACUUUUACUAAGUGUCUUUACAGGUACUCGGAGCUGCUUCCCAUUGAAGCUAUUCGAACAAAGUUCGAACAAUAUUUUAAUUCAUUAUCGUAUAGUAUUGAUGAUAGACAAAUCUAGGUUGUUUCUGAUAUUAUUUUAUUUUAUUACUUGUGUAUCUUGUAUGUUUGUUUUAUUUGUAUAUUAUUUUUAUCUCCUCCUCAAUUUGAAAAAAUGAACUCAGUCGGGAUCCACAAUUGUGGAUUUCGAAGGAUGCCUAACACCUUCCCUUCGGAAUAAUUUGAACCCCUUACCUAGAAUCUUGGUUUCGUAGAUCACUUAAUGGUUUCCUAGUUUUUUCCUAAAAUUAGGUGGCGACUCCUUUAAAAUUUGUUUAUUCUUAAAAUUCUUUUAAAAUUGAAUCAAUUGAUUAUUUUUUUUAGUCACUGCGACGUUUCGCCCUAUU